RNAcentral lists this ribosomal RNA (468 nucleotides) under uncultured bacterium. RNAcentral's name for it is "partial 16S ribosomal RNA". It matches the Rfam family "Bacterial small subunit ribosomal RNA", at positions 28 to 507 of the family's 1533-position model. The record is from RNAcentral.
GACGAACGCUGGCGGCGUGCUUAACACAUGCAAGUCGAACGGAAAGGCCCUGCUUUUGUGGGGUGCUCGAGUGGCGAACGGGUGAGUAACACGUGAGUAACCUGCCCUUGACUUUGGGAUAACUUCAGGAAACUGGGGCUAAUACCGGAUAGGAGCUCCUGCUGCAUGGUGGGGGUUGGAAAGUUUCGGCGGUUGGGGAUGGACUCGCGGCUUAUCAGCUUGUUGGUGGGGUAGUGGCUUACCAAGGCUUUGACGGGUAGCCGGCCUGAGAGGGUGACCGGCCACAUUGGGACUGAGAUACGGCCCAGACUACUACGGGAGGCAGCAGUGGGGAAUAUUGCACAAGGGGCGGAAGCCUGAUGCAGCAACGCCGCGUGCGGGAUGACGGCCUUCGGGUUGUAAACCGCUUUCGCCUGUGACGAAGCGUGAGUGACGGUAAUGGGUAAAGAAGCACCGGCUAACUACGUG